UGGGGGAGAGGCAGACAUUGCUGCCCACAGACCUGCCUCUGACUCAACUGUGUCCACCCUCCCUGGUCCCUACCCCCAAGUCACAGGUGACUCAGCAGUGACCCUGUGUGCCAGGCCAGAUCCAAACUGAGAGGGAAGGUGUCGUUUUUACACUGCUAAUGACGAGAGUGGCUCUUUUUAGCUAAGCGAGUACAGACGGGGCCUGGGAGGGGGCAGAGAUGUUCCCCAGGCCCUGCCUGUGGUUCCUGCCUGGGCCUUGGCUGCUGCUGUGUGAGAGCUGCAUGUGAGCCUGUGACCGUGAGCUGGGGUGAGCUGGGCCGCACCUACCCUGGGGCCCCAGGGAGCAGGACGCUCCGGGGCCCAGCACGUUGCCCUGGGCCUGUGGCCGGAGUCGGAGUCCUCUCUCCUCCUCCUGGCUUUUGGAAAGGCUUGGCUGUGUUGGGGAGUCUCUCUUAGCCCUUUCAGGAAUUUCUGUUCAGGCUUCCUCCUCCUCAUCAGCUAUUUUACCCAUCUCAGAACGUAUCUCUCAGGGCGUCUGGUUAUAGGGAAACAAGUGGAGCAGGGACGUGGCUUUAAUUGGAGCACUCGGCUGGGCUGCCUGGGGAGACUCUUCCGUGCGUUCUUCCUCUGGAUAGAACCACCACCUCCUGGGCGUCACUGACAAGCUCCAUCUUAACCUCCAAAGCCACAGAACUAGGGGCUCAGAGCCAGAGCUGGCAGCCGCCAGCCGAAAUGAUGCCAUUGCCUGAGCUGACAGCCAAGCCCUUCUGUGGGUCACCUUUCUCCUCACCUUGCUCUUCCCUUUUGAAAGGCCCGUGUGUUUUCUUUCCUUACCCUGUGCUUGCUCAUGUCUACUCCGGUUUUCUCUACCACAUCCUUAGAGCCAUCACCUGGCACGCAGGCGCCUUACAUUCUACGGUAGAACGUGGGGUACUGUGUGUGCACAUAGACACACUUACGUGGAAUUACAGUUGUGGGUUUAUCCAAGAUGAGGAAGAUUUCACUUGCUGUUUAAUAGACUUGGGGCCAUGUGCCUCCCCACACAUGGGCAAGGACAGGUGGAAUGUCGGGACCACACUGUGCGGCUUCUCGGCACAAAGUGGAGGGAGGCUGUGGUCGCUGCCGGCCUAGGUGUCCCAGGUGCCCCGCCUUUCUCUGGGACACAGUUGGGGGCUGGCUUCUGAGGGAUUCCUUUCUCCCCUCUUUGUGUGGCCCCAGCCAGGGCGGUGGGCAGUCCUGGUGUAGAGCACAAGCCUCUCCACCCUAGAGAAAUGCCUCUGUACCACGGCUACCAUGUGGAACCUUAACUUGCAGAAGGCUUGUUAACAAUUGUUUUGAGAGAGAUGGCUGGUCAUGCCACAGCUGCUGGGGACUCCGCCUACUCCAGCCCUCUUGGGACACACUGUGGGAUUUGUGGCCCUUCCCCAGAGGAAUUGUGGAGACUGUCCCAUGGAACAAACCCUCAGGCACCAGCACAGGGCUCUGGGUGACUCAGUAAAACUAACGUUUGUCUCUGACAAGAUCAGCUGUAGGCUCACCGGCCAGAGAAGACCACUGUGAGCAUUUUGCCGUAUAUCCUGCCCUGCCAUUUGUUCACUUUUUAAACUAAAAUAGGAACAUCCGACACACACCGUUUGCAUCGUCUUCUCCCUUGAUAUUUUAAGCAUUUUCCCAUGUCAUGAGUUUCUCAGAAACAUGUUUUUAACAAUUGUACUAUUUAGUCAUUGUCCAUUUACUAUAAUUUAUCUGACCAUUUCCCUACUGUAAAAUACUUGACGGUUUCUGAUUUUUCCACUAUUUAAAUAAUGCUGUGAUGAAUAUCUUUAAAAUCUUCUGAUUUCUUACUUUUUUUCCCCUUAGAUGCCUGGAAGUGGUAUUUUGAGGUGAAAGAGUUUGUUCAUUUUGAAGAUAUUUCUGUCUCUCUCUCGACCUGAUGUGUAGACGCUCAGUUCCAGUAGCAGAACCACCUUAGUUGUGUCUUACAGAUUCUGAACAAAUCGGUUUCUGAUAAGCC
This 2014-nucleotide long non-coding RNA is filed under the name Homo sapiens (human). The record is from RNAcentral. Lineage: Eukaryota; Metazoa; Chordata; Mammalia; Primates; Hominidae.